Sander lucioperca (pikeperch) is the source of this 787-nucleotide long non-coding RNA. RefSeq lists it as uncharacterized. The record is from RefSeq and is a predicted model, not a curated record. NCBI's taxonomy places the organism in Eukaryota, Metazoa, Chordata, Actinopteri, Perciformes, Percidae. The transcript has 4 exons.
AUGUUAUUGCCUCCACCACCUGCAUAUUAGUCAACACCACACAGGAAACCAGCCGGUCGCCCAGAGCUGGAUGGGUCCAUUGUAACGCAAGCUCUGCCUGUCACUUCAUCUUGGGACCCAGUUGAAGCCAUGAGGACAUCCAUUACCCGCAUGGCACAGCGGAUUGACACAUUUGAGGAAAAGAUGGAUGAGCUACUCAUGCUCUUAAGGAGUCCAGCCCAGUCCCCUCCCUCUGCUCCAGUCGAUGACGUGUUGCUGUCGCCCUGCUCAACAGUCACUGAGCUGCAGGAGUGAGACAGGAGUCUCAGUCAACAGGAGAGGAGGAACAAAAUGCGGCCUCCCAGAAAAACUUCCCCGCGCUGACUGCAGCAGACGUGGAGGACCCCACAGUGCUCCCCCCUCACAAUAUCCAACAGCCCAGUGUCAAAGGUGGACUCAUUCAAGUUUCUGGGCUCCAUCAUUUCCCAGGACCUGAAGUGGGAGUCUAACAUCCUUAAAAAGGCUCAGCAGAGGAUGUACUUCCUACGGCAACUGCGGAAGCAUGGCCUACCACAAGAGCUAUUGGCCAUCUUCUACACUGCUGUCCUCCUCCUGCCUCAUCCCCUCUGGCAGGCCCUACAGAUCCCUGCACACAAAAACAACCAGACACAAGAACAGCUUCUUUCCACUGCCAUCACUCUCCUGAACUGCUGAUAAGAGGGGUCAUCCCCUCUUUGGCCAUUCACCUACACAUUACAUACUUUAUCAUUCCAAUAUGCAUUUUGCACACUACAUUUGCACUAUUACU